Long non-coding RNA from Teleopsis dalmanni, 651 nucleotides. RefSeq lists it as uncharacterized. Lineage: Eukaryota; Metazoa; Arthropoda; Insecta; Diptera; Diopsidae. The transcript is spliced from 4 exons. The record is from RefSeq and is a predicted model, not a curated record.
AACGUGUGUUGAAUAAGUCAUACUGUCCGUCAGAAAUUUCUGGCUCUCAAUCUCCAGCCUUACAUCAACUGGUUUGCCUUUAUGUUUGCCCUGGUUGGAAUGUAAUGUCAACAGCGUACUUGAUCUCAUCGAGCGCAACGAUGCAAUUAUCACUGAUUACAACCAGAUACGUGCAUUGCGUUAUGGUAAACCACCUCGACCCACCUUACGUCAUGUAUUUGCCUAUGAUUUUAAGGAGAAAGUGCCAUUGGCAAGUUUUUUUGUCAAAGAAUCAAUUCACAAUUGUAACGUAUCAUCCAUUUGCACCACCAUAUUCAAUUAAUUCUUAUGAAAGCUGUGCUACAAAUCAACAAUCAAUAUGCUACAUGGACAAGUACCUGCUGCUAGAUCUAACAAUGCUGAACCACCAACAUCGCCACGAACCUAAUAUAAAGCCGACCCAAUUGAUAGACAACCACUAUUUAUAGCAUUUAAGGUUGGUGAAGAUGGUGCAGCUGGUACUGCUGAGACUGGGACUUCAUAUCAUAAUCUUACGUAAUCCUCGCAUAAUAUUGUGGAUGCAAUGCGUGACUUUUUACAUAAUUUCCGUAUAACUUGCUCGUUGGUCAGAAUGAUGAUAAUGACAGUUUUGAAGAAGACACCAUGUCUACU